Molecule: long non-coding RNA, 767 nt
Organism: Xenopus tropicalis (tropical clawed frog)
Lineage: Eukaryota; Metazoa; Chordata; Amphibia; Anura; Pipidae
Exons: 2
Source: RefSeq, a predicted model, not a curated record
AAAGGCUUUUGUCAUACAAUGGCUUUAGUAGCUGCUACUUGUAGUUUACUAAAAAUAGUCUUCCUUGUUUUAAGGGGACAGACAGUGUCAGGAACUGUGGGGAAUCAAACCCUGGACUUCGUGCGGAACUCCAGGUGCGCUUGCUUGCCACAGGAGGCUCUUUGAGCUACAUGGGAUCAGUUGCCCUUAUGUGCCUUCUGCCUUUUUACCAAUUUCCCUUCAGUCGCAACCUAUUGUGUUCAUCACAUGUGUGGCUGCUUUAAUAAUGACCUGCCUAUAUAAACCCUCUCCUGGCAACACCCAGUUGCUCGAUCAUCGUUGCUACUGAGUCUGGUCUUGCCACUUCUGAUUCCUGUGUUCCCUGCCUUGUUCCUGUUUGGUUUUCGUGAUAUUGACUUCUGCUUGACUUUCUGGAUUGCUUGAACUCUGCCUGGACUGACCCCUGCCUAAUUAACGGAUCUGCUAGAACUCUGCCUGGACCGACCCCUGCCUAAGUAAUGGACUUGCUUGAACUCUGCCUGGACUGAACCCUGCCUGCCUUGCGGAUUCACCUGUUACCGGACUCUGUAUCUUAUCACAGGCUUGACAUUGUUGGGGUUCUCUGUGGAGCCGUCUUUCCAACCCAGUGACCUCUUGGAUGUUGAUCUAAAAAAGGAUAUUUUUUUUUCAAUGUUUUCAAUGAUGUUCAUCAUGACAUGAAACAUACAAGUUGAUGGAGAAUAAUGUUGUUCUGGUAUUUUUGGACAUUACAAAGUUCAUGUAAAAAA